This 207-nucleotide unclassified non-coding RNA is filed under the name plant metagenome. RNAcentral describes it as "partial contains small subunit ribosomal RNA, internal transcribed spacer 1, and 5.8S ribosomal RNA". The record is from RNAcentral.
UUUCCGUAGGUGAACCUGCGGAAGGAUCAUUCAUAAUAAGUGUUUUAUGGCACUUUUUUAAAUCCAUAUCCACCUUGUGUGCAAUGUCAGGGUUGGUCUCUUUUUGAUCAGCCCAAACAUCAACUAUUAUCUCAACUCUUUGUCUGAAAAAUAUUAUGAAUAAAACAAUUCAAAAUACAACUUUCAACAACGGAUCUCUUGGCUCUC